Long non-coding RNA from Gorilla gorilla gorilla (western lowland gorilla), 754 nucleotides. RefSeq lists it as uncharacterized. The record is from RefSeq and is a predicted model, not a curated record. The transcript has 3 exons. Lineage: Eukaryota; Metazoa; Chordata; Mammalia; Primates; Hominidae.
AGUGCUCUGCUUUCAGCGUCUGUAAGGGAAGGAAAUUGGUUGCACCAACUUAUGUUAGGAUUUACUUUUAAAGAAGGUCCUUAGGAAAGGCAGCGUUUUAACCUAAGGGAGUGCAUUUUCAAGAGUGGAUUUUCAGGCAGGGAGCGCAGCAGGCGUUUCCCGACAUGCCCGUGAGCAAGACUCGAUCACGGCCCAGAAACCCUGCUUUGCAGAGGUGACCACCCCGGCCCGCCCGGGAGAACCGGGCCCGAGCUGCCGCGCCGCCACGGUGACUCGGCCAUAAGACCCGCCAGACGGGUGUGUUCCUGCAAGACCUCUCUUUCCCUAGGGGAAAACAGAGACAUCUCAUCACAGAUAUCUCUAGGUUUGCCUUGGCCAUGAUGUCCAAGUGGUCUGCUUGGUUCCAUACCUGCAUCUGAGCUGGCUCUGUGGGAGGUGCCAAGCUGCCUUCGACACUGUGCAUGGUACUUUAAAGCUCUCAAUAAAUAUUUUUCAAGUGAAGUCAAUGAAGCAAGAAAGAAUCUCAACUAGUUUUCAGGAAAAGAGAGGAAAACAUGGAGCCACAGAGCCACAGACAGGCAAAGAGAAGAAAACCAUCUGAAGAUAUAGACAAAUGUUGGAGUGAUGCCACUACAAGCCAAGAAAUGCCAGAGAAUAUCAAGGAUUGCUGACUACCACCAGGAGCCAGUUGACAGGCAUGGAAUCUUCUUUCUCAGGGAAAAACACAACUCUGGCAAUACCUUAGUUUUGGAUU